Molecule: RNA transcript, 477 nt
Organism: Mastomys coucha (southern multimammate mouse)
Lineage: Eukaryota; Metazoa; Chordata; Mammalia; Rodentia; Muridae
Gene name: ubiquitin-60S ribosomal protein L40 pseudogene
Exons: 1
Source: RefSeq, a predicted model, not a curated record
GCGGCAGACGCCAACAUGCAGAUCUUCGUGAAGACCCUGACAGGCAAGACCAUCACUCUCGAGGUCGAGCCCAGUGACACCAUCGAGAAUGUCAAGGCCAAGAUCCAAGACAAGGAACGCAUCCCACCUGACCAGCAGAGGCUGAUAUUCGCUGGCAAACAGCUGGAGGAUGGCCGCACCCUGUCCGACUACAACAUCCAGAAAGAGUCCACCUUGCACCUGGUGCUGCGUCUGCGCGGUGGCAUCAUCGAGCCAUCCCUUCGUCAGCUUGCCCAGAAGUACAACUGUGACAAGAUGAUCUGCCGCAAGUGCUACGCACGCCUGCACCCUCAUGCAGUCAACUGCCGCAAGAAGAAGUGCGGCCAUACCAACAACCUGCGCCCCAAGAAGAAGGUCAAAUAAAGCUGGGGCCAUACCUGGCCUGUGACCCCGGAACCAAAUAAAGUCCCCUUCCAUCGACUGGAGCAGAAAAAAAAA